This 7995-nucleotide long non-coding RNA is filed under the name Lactuca sativa (garden lettuce). RNAcentral's name for it is "long non-coding RNA (LSAT_LNC002668)". Lineage: Eukaryota; Viridiplantae; Streptophyta; Magnoliopsida; Asterales; Asteraceae. The record is from RNAcentral.
CCAACAUUUCACAUGUUGACAUUUUUCAAAAUACUUGUAUUCUCAGGUAACCAGUGAAUCAAAGGAAAAUGUACUCAGUGAUGGCUUGCAGUUUACUUAUUAAUGAAUCGAACAAUUUAUUUUUGGGAAUGUAAUGUUUAAACAAUGUACUUCAUAUAAACUUUACCGGUUGUACUAUAUUAAUGCAUGGUGACGAAUGUUGUUACGUUUCAUAUAUAUUCAAUGUUAUGGUAUUCAAUUAAGUCACGACAGCCCUCGGACGUUUCCGACGUCUGGUUCGGGGGUGUGACAGGUUGGUGGCGGUGGUUUUUGAUAGACUUAGAUUUUAAAGUGUAUGUGUUCCUAUCCAUGUGAAUUUUCCGAAACCAAAGUUUGCGACAAAUCCAAACUCAUAUGGACCGAACUUGUUCAAUCUCGAUUCCUUGCCUUAUAGUAGCAUGAAUGCCUACCAUGUCUUCCAGGUUGUUAAGCAGCUCACCCUUACCUUAUCAAUGUACUUUCCAUUGAUCAGGGUGCCUUGCCUUUAUGCAAUCCAAUUGAGAACUCAUAGAACUCAUAUUGCAUAGUUGACUAAAUCUGGAAUGGCACAUAAACAAAAUUAUGUCAACACGAUAGGUUGCCAACCUCAAGUCGUGUGCUAGUGAUUAACUAUUGGUUUAUUCUUGAUUAGCUCUUGAACUUUUCAAGACAAUUGAGACUCCCACUGACCUCUUGACAUAUAUGAUUCUCUUAUCAAGGAACUUUCUUUGACAAAACAAAUAUUCAAGAGUUGGUGCGAAAUCUUAUCAAGACUAACACUUCACAUAACUGGUCCUCGUUGGUCUUUGUCUUAUCCAAGACAUCACAACUUACCAAUUUCAAAUGUACAAGAAUAAGAAAAACUUUUCCAAUUCCAUAAUUGUUGAGUGUUAUAAACCUACUAAAGACGUGUCACUCAAUUCGCAAUCUUGGAGUAUGACUCUAAGACUCGAUAUUGGAAUGAAGUAUGAUUGACUUCUUAAUUUAACCAUUUCCACAAUUCUCGAUUCCUCUUCUUAGACAUACAAAUGUACUAAGACUCACUUAGAGGAUCAAUUGAUAUAUGGNAAAUUUUGAAAUUUUUUUUAUUAUUUAUUUUUAAAAGGUCGUGUUUAAGGAAUUUCUUUAGAAAUUCAUAACUUCUUUAUCUGACGUCGGUUUUGGCCAGACUUUUUACCGCUAAAUUACCAUUGUCGAGACCUUCGAUUCUCGUUUAGGUCAUUCCGGCCAAGAGUCGCUCGAUCUCCGAUUUGAGUUUUUAGCUAUCUGCUGCUAAGCCGAACUUGGAAAAAUCAUAACUUAAAUAUACGAAUUCAGAUUUGGGCUUUCUUUUUACGUACGAUCACGGCUUAAUGACAUCUAUCAUAGUAGGUAAUUAAAUAGAAACUUUUUGGACAUUUUAUUUUCGAAGUUAAUUUCAUUAUCACAAAAGUGGUUACAAUAAUUGACUUUUAGGUCAUUACAUAGAGUUGAAAUAUCGGGUUGUCACAUGACGCAAUGCAUGUUGCAUGAUUCCAAGUUUUUGUCCAAUUGAAACUUGGGUGAUGAGAAACUCUCCUUAUUUGGUAAAUUCUCGACAUUUCACAAAUAACAUAAUCAAGAAUCACAUCCAAUUCUACAUUGCUAAAAUUAGAAAUACAUAAACAUCCAUUUUCACAUAUGCCAUUGCAAGGAUAAAUAAAUAAGACGAAAUCAAAAUUCAUUUUAUUGUGGAAAAACUUGUCCUUACAAUGCAAUUCAAAUGAAAACUAUGCUAUUUCAAUUUCUAAGCAAUCUAUUCUAACUCUAAAGUAGUAGCUCAGAAAUCCGAUCUUCAAGCAAUGCGAUCGAAAUCCAUUUCUUCACGAUCAGAUUCAACUUACUUCUUCCCUUAACCUUCCUCUCUUUUCUUCGAUCCUACAAAACAUCAAAAUGUACUCUUAUCACAUCAUGUAUUGAUAAUCAAAGAAUAGGAACUUAUAGAGUUAGUUAUUGGAUUUUACCUGAAGUAAAGCCAUACGUCUUGACUCUCCCAUCUCUUAGAUCUCUCAGGUAGUUUGGGCAGCUUCGUCUCCAAUGCCCUUUCUCUUGGCAAUAAAAGCAAAUGGAAUCCUUUGGCACAACACAUGGGACAAUCUCAUACUUAGUCCUUUAUGUACUUCCAAUGUUGUCAGUGUCCAUUGAAGUUUGGAAGUUUGAUUCACCAGACAAAGUUGCUUGACCAGCACGCCAAAUCAUUGCUGAUUCGACAGCUAUAAUUAAACAAGUGAGAUCAAUGAGGGUCACCUAUCAAUGUGUGACUUGAUCUCUAAGAUGUGUGCACACACAAGUUUCUCAUCUUCGUGUUUACUUGCCAAAAGGGCUUGACUGAGCUUGAACUUUUCAAGCCUUCGAACUUGUGGGUCAGGGAGAAUCAUUGGAGGAGGUGGAGGAAGUGAAGCAUGAUCUCUAGUUCCUCGAUCAUAUCGUGGAAUAUCAUCUUCAUUUGGAAGACUUGUUCCAUGGGAUUUGGGAAGACCAUUUUUAGAUUCAGACAUCUACAAAAUGGGAGAACUUCAAGUUAGUUGAUAAGAAUCCUUGAUGUAACACCCAAAUGAAACAUCAAGGCUAGGAUCCAACACAAUACUCUACAACCUAGAAGAGGGAUGUCGUAAUCUAGUUGCAAAAUAUUUGAAGGUAGGUAAAUGACGAUUUACCAAUUUCCACCAUGAAAAACGAAAAAGAAAUUUAAGUUUUAAAUGAAUUGAAACUCCUAGAUCUUUUGCGGUUCAUUGAACUUUUCAAUGGCAUGUUUAAUCUCGAUUAUGCCCUACUAUUUGCGACUGGGAUGCCGAGGAUCACAAACAAGGUAUGAAUAACCAUUCAAAUCACGUGGUGCACUCAAUACUACUAUCACCUAAUCAAUGUGUCGGUUAGCCACACACACUCCAUUGAUCUAUGAUAAACAUCGAGCCACCCUUCGCCACCAAUGUCAAUCCCAAAUUAGUGUGUCGGUUAACCACACAUGCUCCACUAACGUCUCGACAAGGGUACAAAGUGUUAUUCCAUGGAUUAGCAUAAAAUUUCACAUUUUGCCUAAAGUAACUAUGAUUUGGGAAUUUUGAAAAACAUUUAGUUAAUUUGUACUUCAUUAUACUUAUAAUGGAAGGUUUCUGUCCUAUCUUACCUGUUCGGCUAACGACCCUCCAUUAGUCAAGAGUGCAGUGGGUAAGAGUGGAUACCCAUUCAAUCGCCAUUUUAUAGGCAAUUUCCUUAAACACCCCUUAUACACCAGCUCCGUGAAUGAGGCCUACUAACGGUAAGACUGACUCUUUACUCAUAUAUAUAAUAUUAGACUUUUAAUGUUACAUAUACAUAUAGUAUAGGGUGUAUUUUACACUUUUAAAAUACUAGGUGGUUUUAUUAACUUUCUCUUUAAAUUAAACUUUUAAUUAACUUAACAAAACCAUGAGGGUGUAAUUUUAACUUUUCAAAAUACUAGGGUUUUAGAAUUUAAAUAUUACAUAAUUAAAGUAUUAAUCAAAAUUUUAAAUUCCAAAACUUGAGGGCAAGUUUCGAAACAUUUCAAAACAUUAGGGUUUAGAAUUUAAAUAUUUCAAAAUCAAACUUUUAAUCAAGAAUUUAAAUUCCAAAACUUGAGGGCAAGUUCUGAAACUUUUCAACACAUUAGGGUUUAACUAUUUAAAUUUCAAAACCAAAGCUUUUAAGUUCAAAUUUAAACUAUAAAACCUAAAGGGGAAAUUUGAAACUUUUCAAAUAAGGCAAUUAUCUAAUUUUGACCUAGUCAAAUAUCUUGCAGGAUAAUUCAUCAAAUAACUCAAAUAAUUAAACAUUAUCUUAUAAGGUAACAAUAUUUGAUNCAUUAUCUUAUAAGGUAACAAAUAUUUGAUUAAAUGGUAAUUAUCUACUAUUUUGGUAAGGAUAUUCACCCAAAAUCAAUAAAAAUCGGAUUUUAUUAAUUAAAAACGUUUAUGGUAAGUAUCCUAAGCCAAAACAGUAAGAAAAUCGCCAAAAAAAACGUUGCCAGACCCUCGAACUCGUCGAGUCAGAGACAGGACUCAUCGAGUCAGCCAUUCAACUAUCAAAUAAGCAUCAAUUCACUAACAAACAACCCUAGGCCCUGAUACCACUGAUGGGUUUUGUGCAUAACAUCAAUCCUAUGGUGUUCAUGCAACCCUAAUUGCUUGGAUCUAGUUUUUCUACUUUGAACAUGCAAUAAACUUCCAAGACUUACAAACCCUAGAUCUAGCAUACUAGUAAUCAAAUUAACAUAUAGAUUAGGGUUUAGAUCUUACCUUGAUUGUUAUGUAGCAAUAACAAUCAAUUCCUUGGCUUCAGAAAGCUUAGUGCCUCAAGUUUUGCCCCUCUAAUGGAGUCACAAACACCACUAAGCAACUUGGAUGAAGAGAGAAGAGAUAGGAGGCACAAAAAACGGCUAGAAACCCUAAAUGAACACUUAGCCACGUUUUUGGGUCUCAAGGGUAUAGGUAGGCAGUUAGGGUUAUCUAACAAGGAAACCCUAAUUUGACUGCUUAAGACCUAAGCAGCCCAUGGACCCCUUCUGGAACAUGCCUUGGACUAUUUCUAAUGGGCUUCCCCAUAGAAUUCGUCCAACCUAUUAUUCCAAGGUGAUCCAUAGCCCAAUUGCAAUUAUCUUAUAAUUACAAUUCUAGUCCCCUAAGUUUGAUUAAUCUCUUUUAGCCACAAAAUUAAUUCUUUAUUAAUUCUUGACUAAUAUUAAUUAAAAAAUAUGAUUUCUCCUUUAAUAUAUUAUUCUCAUAAUAUAUUAAUAAAUCAUAAUUAAACCUUUCUCUCCUUAAUUCAUCAUACAAGUUGCUAUGGUGAAGGCAACCCAAAAGGACCAUGCUCAUAAUCGGGUCAAGUACAUACCAAAAUAGUUAUGGACUUAGACAUUAAUCCAACAGUGAUAGCAUAUGCAUCGCGGCAGCUGAAGCCGCAAGAGACGAGACACCCUGUCACAACUGGAAUUUUGUGUCCNUGUAAUCUAUACACUCAAGUUAAUGUGAAUCAAAAACUUAAGAACAUGGUUGACACCUACUAUUAUGACAUCAAAAACUUCAAUCAAAUACAUCAUACAAGUACUACUAAUAGUCAUCAAACAAUUGGAGACCCUAGAAGUCCUUGUUUAAGUCCAUUUUGGACUAGGACUUCCUUAUUGGAUCCAAAUGGACCAAUAAGCUUUCAAUUUGACUAUCAUGGGCUUAGGACCCUAAUUGGGCUCUAAUUGGACCCACACUAAUUUAUUUCAACAUUUUGGGCCAUGUUGGGCCUAGAAUAAAAUAAAUUAAAAUCUUUGAUCCAUGAAUAACCUAAACUAGUCCAACAAAAAUGUAAAAAUCCUACCACAUUCUUUUAGGCUUAAAACAUACCCAAACAAACUCUAAUAAUGGGCUUAGGGCAAAAAGCCCAAAUUUUUCCUUUUUCCUUCCAUGUUUUCGGCCCAAACCAAGCCCAAGAGGAAGGGUUGACUUUCAAGUGACACCUCACUAUUACCUCAUGGUUAUCCAUGCAACAUAUCACAUAUACCCAUGCAUACAUCAUCUCAAAGGUCACUUCUUCCUUCCUCUCUCUCACUCUCGGCCAUAUGCAAACACACACACACACCACAAAAAUCUCUUCCAAACUCUCUAAGUCUUGAAGAACAAUCCUCCCUCCUUCUUCAAAAUUUUCGUGAAUCAAGAAGCUUCACAAGNGGAUCUUUCAAGUUAAUCAUCAUCUUAGGUAAGUUUUUACUUAUAUCCAUGAUCUAGCUACUUCAUUCCAUCAAAAACCUCUUCUAAAUCUAUUCCAACUUGUGAUCAUGCACCUUAGAAGCCACCAAACCCGAGAUCUACCAAGGAAAGGUGCUAGAGCCGAAAAUCACUUCAUUUUUCUUCCAUCUUCUCUUCAAAACCGAAAGCUUCAAACAAGGUGAACUUCAUACCCCCUAUUUUCUGUUUUUAUAAGUUUUAUAGGGGGGGGGGAAUACAAGUGAAAGUGUAGAUCUAUAUGGGUUUUGUAUGAUUUCCGGGUUUUGUAUGAUUUCCAUGCUUAUAUGUGUGUUUUUGUGUGUUAUAAUGUUGGAUCUAGCCAUAAAACCCCUCAAAACCGAGAUAUACUUUAUGUUAAAUGAUUCUAGCAUCAAAUAUAUUUCUACAUACAAAGUGUUCCAAGAAAAAUAGCUAAAUGGCUUAGUAACAUUUUCUUUGGGCUAAAAACACAAUUUUUGGACCUAAAAUGUGAAAAAUACAAAGUUAAAGGGGCCAAAUUGACAUAUCACGAAUUCUGAUGGAUGAGGUGUGUCAAAACAGUUUCAAUAAAACAAUUUCUGGAAAUAUACUCAUUUGGAAGAUUAAAAAACAUAAAUUUCAAGCUUAAUGGGCUAAAAAUGACAUUUUCGGCCCAAUAAGGCCCAUUAUGCGAAAUUUUCUGUUUUGGAGGGCCAAAACUGUGUUUUUCUGUAAAACAGUGGACUAUUAGUGUUCCAAGUCCUUUUCAAAGGUUUAAAAUGCUUUUUAAAUUUAAAAAGGACCAAAGUUGCAAAAAUUUUACCAUUUGGGCCAAAAUUGUCAAAAUUGCGAAAAAGAGGGGUUAUAACCGAGAAAACUGCAUUUUCAGGGACUUAAACUGUUUUCUAUGAAAAAUAUGCUGAAAAAUAUUAAUUUCAAUAACUUUUGGUGUUAAAAUGUCAAGAAAAUUGAUUUAAGGACCAAACCGGAAAGUAUUUAAUUAAAAGGGUUGAAAAGGUAAAUUUUACAAACAAUGAGGGGUUGAAAACAAAAAACUUUCAAGGCUAAUUCAAUACACGCAAUUUGAUCAAAUAAUGGCACCGCGACUAUCGACGAAAUACAAUACACAACAAUACCAAAAAUCGUUGUUAAACGAAUUGGUUCGGUCUCGAACCAAUAAAAAUCCGAAACUACUAACACGACGAUACUACGAUUCAUACAAGUAACGUUUGGGAAUUCAAUAUACAUGCGAGUGUGCACAGACGUCUACGCACCAUCUUUGGGCCCCAAAAGUGUAAAAUCUUGUUUGUUGGGCCUAGCUAGCCCAAUGACCUGAUCUUAAGGCCCGAAGACCUCUACCUUACGAAGUGUUGGGUUUUACCGAUCUAACACAACGUAAAAGGACUUUCAAUGGCUUGUAUACUACUGGUCCCCAAGGGUCCUUUGGUAUUGCUAGUAAAGUCGACAUUUCAUGCGAGGUGGGUCAGGGACCCCUCGUACAUUUUUUUUAUCCCCAACCGGUUAAUGGAGUCACCGGGGUCUUCGUGUCCUCUUUCUCCUCGGAUGUGGGACUACACGUAGUCAGGGCGGUUGGAUAACGUGAUUAGUACGGACGACGCCUACGGGAUCGUUAGUAUAACUAUAAACUAGUCGUUUGUGUAACGCGUGUUUGUAGUAAUUAAUCAUGCUAAAAAAUAAUCCAACGUCGCCUGGGAUUGAUACUACGCGCGUUGCAAUGGUUUCAAUGUAAAUUCAUGGAAUUCAAGGAAUUAGGAAAACAUCGGGUUUUCCUAGGGUUUUCAAUACAUACGGAUUCGAUACGCAUACAAUUUUAAAUGAACAAUUUUUACAAGUAUAGAAACAAACAAGCAUACCUAUGGAUCUUCACAAACGUUUUCAAAAGCAUUUCUUUUUAGAAAAUAUCGGAUUUUCUGGUGGUUUUCAAAAUGAUACAAAACAUUGCUUUUCAAAUACCGCUUAUGAACUCGCCAACAUUUCACAUGUUGACGUUUUUCAAAAUACUUGUAUUCUCAGGGAACCAGUGAAUUCAAGGAAAGUGUACUCAGUGAUGGCUUGCAGUUUACUUAUUAACGAAUCGAACAAUUUAUUUUGGGAAUGUAAUGUUUAAACAAUGUACUUCAUGUAAACUUUAUUGGUUGUAUUAUAUUAAUGCAUGGUGACGGAUGUUGUUACGUUUCAUAUAUAUUCAAUGUUAUGGUAUUCAAUUGAGUCACGACAGCUCCCGAACGUUUCCGCCGCCUGGUUCGGG